RNAcentral lists this long non-coding RNA (258 nucleotides) under Zostera marina. Its description in RNAcentral is "long non-coding RNA (ZMAR_LNC002088)". Lineage: Eukaryota; Viridiplantae; Streptophyta; Magnoliopsida; Alismatales; Zosteraceae. The record is from RNAcentral.
GGAUUACGAAACGCACAAAAAAAACAUUUCGAUAAGCAACAAUCAAUAAAUGAAGAUGAGGAGGAGGAGGAGUCAACAAACGAAGAAGAAAUGUCGACGCAAGGAUCGACAUCCGACAAGCGAAAAAGGCCGCUAUUCAUUGAUGACAGUCUGGAAGCUUGGAUUAGGGCUUCAGGAGGCAAGACGAAAGGAUGUAUUCUCGGAAUGAAACCGGGGGAUGAUUCAUUGAUGCCGAAGAAAUCCAAGGCCAAAAUAAAU